UCAGGAUGAACGCUAGCGGGAGGCUUAACACAUGCAAGUCGUGGGGCAGCACAUGUAGCAAUACAGGGUGGCGACCGGCGCACGGGUGAGUAACGCGUAUGUAACCUACCCUGUACAGGGGGAUAGCCCGGAGAAAUUCGGAUUAAUACCCCAUAAAGAUAUUUAGUGGCAUCAUUAGAUAUUUAAAGUUUCGGCGGUACGGGAUGGGCAUGCGUAACAUUAGCUAGUUGGUAGGGUAACGGCCUACCAAGGCUACGAUGUUUAGGGGUCCUGAGAGGGUGAUCCCCCACACUGGUACUGAGACACGGACCAGACUCCUACGGGAGGCAGCAGUGAGGAAUAUUGGUCAAUGGGCGCAAGCCUGAACCAGCCAUCCCGCGUGCAGGAAGACGGCGCUAUGCGUUGUAAACUGCUUUUCCAGGGGAAGAAAACCCACUACGUGUAGUGGCUUGCCGGUACCUUGGGAAUAAGCAUCGGCUAACUCCGUGCCAGCAGCCGCGGUAAUACGGAGGAUGCGAGCGUUAUCCGGAUUUAUUGGGUUUAAAGGGUGCGUAGGCGGAUUAAUAAGUCAGUGGUGAAAACCUUCAGCUUAACUGGAGAACUGCCAUUGAUACUGUUAGUCUUGAGUACGGUCAAGGUAGGCGGAAUGUGUAAUGUAGCGGUGAAAUGCUUAGAUAUUACACAGAACACCCGAUUGCGAAGGCAGCUUACUGGGCCAUUACUGACGCUGAUGCACCGAAAGCGUGGGGAGCGAACAGGAUUAGAUACCCUGGUAGUCCACGCCGUAAACGAUGAUCACUCGCUGUUGGCGAUACACAGUCAGCGGC
Molecule: ribosomal RNA, 827 nt
Filed under: uncultured bacterium
Lineage: Bacteria
Description: bacterial SSU rRNA
Rfam family: Bacterial small subunit ribosomal RNA
Source: RNAcentral